GCUGCAAUAGCUCAGAUGGUAGAGCGGCUGCCUUGUAAGCAGCGGGUCGCGGGUUCGAUGCCUGCUUGCAGCACCA
RNAcentral lists this transfer RNA (76 nucleotides) under Alphaproteobacteria bacterium. RNAcentral's name for it is "tRNA-Thr". It matches the Rfam family "tRNA". Rfam says of the family: Transfer RNA (tRNA) molecules are approximately 80 nucleotides in length. Their secondary structure includes four short double-helical elements and three loops (D, anti-codon, and T loops). Lineage: Bacteria; Pseudomonadati; Pseudomonadota; Alphaproteobacteria. The record is from RNAcentral.